Molecule: ribosomal RNA, 552 nt
Filed under: uncultured archaeon
Lineage: Archaea
Description: bacterial SSU rRNA
Rfam family: Archaeal small subunit ribosomal RNA
Source: RNAcentral
GACAAGGUUCCAGGCCCUACGGGGUGCAGCAGGCGCGAAACCUCCGCAAUGUGAGAAAUCGCGACGGGGGGAUCCCAAGUGCCAUUCUUAACGGGAUGGCUUUUCAUUAGUGUAAAGAGCUUUUGGAAUAAGGGCUGGGCAAGACCGGUGCCAGCCGCCGCGGUAACACCGGCAGCUCUAGUGGUAGCAGUUUUUAUUGGGCCUAAAGCGUCCGUAGCCGGUUUAAUAAGUCUCUGGUGAAAUCCUGUAGCUUAACUGUGGGAAUUGCUGGAGAUACUAUUAGACUUGAGACCGGGAGAGGUUAGAGGUACUCCCAGGGUAGAGGUGAAAUUCUGUAAUCCUGGGAGGACCGCCUGUUGCGAAGGCGUCUAACUGGAACGGUUCUGACGGUGAGGGACGAAAGUUAGGGGCGCGAACCGGAUUAGAUACCCGGGUAGUCCUAACCGUAAACGAUGCGGACUUGGUGUUGGGGUGGCUUUGAGCUGCUCCAGUGCCGAAGGGAAGCUGUUAAGUCCGCCGCCUGGGAAGUACGGUCGCAAGACUGAAACUUAA